Molecule: ribosomal RNA, 2787 nt
Filed under: Escherichia coli
Lineage: Bacteria; Pseudomonadati; Pseudomonadota; Gammaproteobacteria; Enterobacterales; Enterobacteriaceae
Description: bacterial LSU rRNA
Rfam family: Bacterial large subunit ribosomal RNA
Source: RNAcentral
AGCGUACACGGUGGAUGCCCUGGCAGUCAGAGGCGAUGAAGGACGUGCUAAUCUGCGAUAAGCGUCGGUAAGGUGAUAUGAACCGUUAUAACCGGCGAUUUCCGAAUGGGGAAACCCAGUGUGUUUCGACACACUAUCAUUAACUGAAUCCAUAGGUUAAUGAGGCGAACCGGGGGAACUGAAACAUCUAAGUACCCCGAGGAAAAGAAAUCAACCGAGAUUCCCCCAGUAGCGGCGAGCGAACGGGGAGGAGCCCAGAGCCUGAAUCAGUGUGUGUGUUAGUGGAAGCGUCUGGAAAGGCGCGCGAUACAGGGUGACAGCCCCGUACACAAAAAUGCACAUGCUGUGAGCUCGAUGAGUAGGGCGGGACACGUGGUAUCCUGUCUGAAUAUGGGGGGACCAUCCUCCAAGGCUAAAUACUCCUGACUGACCGAUAGUGAACCAGUACCGUGAGGGAAAGGCGAAAAGAACCCCGGCGAGGGGAGUGAAAAAGAACCUGAAACCGUGUACGUACAAGCAGUGGGAGCACGCUUAGGCGUGUGACUGCGUACCUUUUGUAUAAUGGGUCAGCGACUUAUAUUCUGUAGCAAGGUUAACCGAAUAGGGGAGCCGAAGGGAAACCGAGUCUUAACUGGGCGUUAAGUUGCAGGGUAUAGACCCGAAACCCGGUGAUCUAGCCAUGGGCAGGUUGAAGGUUGGGUAACACUAACUGGAGGACCGAACCGACUAAUGUUGAAAAAUUAGCGGAUGACUUGUGGCUGGGGGUGAAAGGCCAAUCAAACCGGGAGAUAGCUGGUUCUCCCCGAAAGCUAUUUAGGUAGCGCCUCGUGAACUCAUCUCCGGGGGUAGAGCACUGUUUCGGCAAGGGGGUCAUCCCGACUUACCAACCCGAUGCAAACUGCGAAUACCGGAGAAUGUUAUCACGGGAGACACACGGCGGGUGCUAACGUCCGUCGUGAAGAGGGAAACAACCCAGACCGCCAGCUAAGGUCCCAAAGUCAUGGUUAAGUGGGAAACGAUGUGGGAAGGCCCAGACAGCCAGGAUGUUGGCUUAGAAGCAGCCAUCAUUUAAAGAAAGCGUAAUAGCUCACUGGUCGAGUCGGCCUGCGCGGAAGAUGUAACGGGGCUAAACCAUGCACCGAAGCUGCGGCAGCGACGCUUAUGCGUUGUUGGGUAGGGGAGCGUUCUGUAAGCCUGUGAAGGUGUGCUGUGAGGCAUGCUGGAGGUAUCAGAAGUGCGAAUGCUGACAUAAGUAACGAUAAAGCGGGUGAAAAGCCCGCUCGCCGGAAGACCAAGGGUUCCUGUCCAACGUUAAUCGGGGCAGGGUGAGUCGACCCCUAAGGCGAGGCCGAAAGGCGUAGUCGAUGGGAAACAGGUUAAUAUUCCUGUACUUGGUGUUACUGCGAAGGGGGGACGGAGAAGGCUAUGUUGGCCGGGCGACGGUUGUCCCGGUUUAAGCGUGUAGGCUGGUUUUCCAGGCAAAUCCGGAAAAUCAAGGCUGAGGCGUGAUGACGAGGCACUACGGUGCUGAAGCAACAAAUGCCCUGCUUCCAGGAAAAGCCUCUAAGCAUCAGGUAACAUCAAAUCGUACCCCAAACCGACACAGGUGGUCAGGUAGAGAAUACCAAGGCGCUUGAGAGAACUCGGGUGAAGGAACUAGGCAAAAUGGUGCCGUAACUUCGGGAGAAGGCACGCUGAUAUGUAGGUGAAGUCCCUUGCGGAUGGAGCUGAAAUCAGUCGAAGAUACCAGCUGGCUGCAACUGUUUAUUAAAAACACAGCACUGUGCAAACACGAAAGUGGACGUAUACGGUGUGACGCCUGCCCGGUGCCGGAAGGUUAAUUGAUGGGGUCAGCGCAAGCGAAGCUCUUGAUCGAAGCCCCGGUAAACGGCGGCCGUAACUAUAACGGUCCUAAGGUAGCGAAAUUCCUUGUCGGGUAAGUUCCGACCUGCACGAAUGGCGUAAUGAUGGCCAGGCUGUCUCCACCCGAGACUCAGUGAAAUUGAACUCGCUGUGAAGAUGCAGUGUACCCGCGGCAAGACGGAAAGACCCCGUGAACCUUUACUAUAGCUUGACACUGAACAUUGAGCCUUGAUGUGUAGGAUAGGUGGGAGGCUUUGAAGUGUGGACGCCAGUCUGCAUGGAGCCGACCUUGAAAUACCACCCUUUAAUGUUUGAUGUUCUAACGUUGACCCGUAAUCCGGGUUGCGGACAGUGUCUGGUGGGUAGUUUGACUGGGGCGGUCUCCUCCUAAAGAGUAACGGAGGAGCACGAAGGUUGGCUAAUCCUGGUCGGACAUCAGGAGGUUAGUGCAAUGGCAUAAGCCAGCUUGACUGCGAGCGUGACGGCGCGAGCAGGUGCGAAAGCAGGUCAUAGUGAUCCGGUGGUUCUGAAUGGAAGGGCCAUCGCUCAACGGAUAAAAGGUACUCCGGGGAUAACAGGCUGAUACCGCCCAAGAGUUCAUAUCGACGGCGGUGUUUGGCACCUCGAUGUCGGCUCAUCACAUCCUGGGGCUGAAGUAGGUCCCAAGGGUAUGGCUGUUCGCCAUUUAAAGUGGUACGCGAGCUGGGUUUAGAACGUCGUGAGACAGUUCGGUCCCUAUCUGCCGUGGGCGCUGGAGAACUGAGGGGGGCUGCUCCUAGUACGAGAGGACCGGAGUGGACGCAUCACUGGUGUUCGGGUUGUCAUGCCAAUGGCACUGCCCGGUAGCUAAAUGCGGAAGAGAUAAGUGCUGAAAGCAUCUAAGCACGAAACUUGCCCCGAGAUGAGUUCUCCCUGACUCCUUGA